GACCCCCCCACCAGAUAGAAUCUAUUCUAUAGUAAUCGUCUCCUUUCUGAGCUUCUCAAAAAAGCCACAGAAUCCCCAACCUGGUUGAUGAGCAGUAGCCUCGAUGCCCCGGAGUGAGGCCUUGUAACGUUUGCUUCGGCGAACGUGGCGAUGAUCUUCAGCCAACCAGUUGUGUACUUCGGUCGCGCUGGAAGGCAGGGUGUUGAUGGCAAUCUGACAGGC
This 222-nucleotide small nucleolar RNA is filed under the name Plenodomus lingam JN3. RNAcentral's name for it is "fungal small nucleolar RNA U3". It matches the Rfam family "Fungal small nucleolar RNA U3". Rfam says of the family: Small nucleolar RNAs (snoRNAs) are involved in the processing and modification of rRNA in the nucleolus. There are two main classes of snoRNAs: the box C/D class, and the box H/ACA class. The record is from Rfam by way of RNAcentral. Lineage: Eukaryota; Fungi; Ascomycota; Dothideomycetes; Pleosporales; Leptosphaeriaceae.